UACAGAGGGGGCAAGCGUUGUUCGGAAUCACUGGGCGUAAAGCGCACGUAGGCGGCUUCUUAAGUCAGGGGUGAAAUCCUGGAGCUCAACUCCAGAACUGCCUUUGAUACUGAGGAGCUUGAGUCCGGGAGAGGUGAGUGGAACUGCGAGUGUAGAGGUGAAAUUCGUAGAUAUUCGCAAGAACACCAGUGGCGAAGGCGGCUCACUGGCCCGGUACUGACGCUGAGGUGCGAAAGCGUGGGGAGCGAUCCGG
Molecule: ribosomal RNA, 253 nt
Filed under: uncultured bacterium
Lineage: Bacteria
Description: partial 16S ribosomal RNA
Rfam family: Bacterial small subunit ribosomal RNA
Source: RNAcentral